This 253-nucleotide ribosomal RNA is filed under the name uncultured bacterium. RNAcentral describes it as "partial 16S ribosomal RNA". It matches the Rfam family "Bacterial small subunit ribosomal RNA", at positions 524 to 776 of the family's 1533-position model. The record is from RNAcentral.
UACGUAGGGGGCAAGCGUUAUCCGGAAUUACUGGGUGUAAAGGGAGCGUAGACGGUAAUGUAAGUCUGGAGUGAAAGGCGGGGGCCCAACCCCCGGACUGCUCUGGAAACUAUGUUACUAGAGUGCAGGAGAGGUAAGCGGAGUUCCUAGUGUAGCGGUGAAAUGCGUAGAUAUUAGGAGGAACACCAGUGGCGAAGGCGGCUUACUGGACUGUAACUGACGUUGAGGCUCGAAAGCGUGGGGAGCAAACAGG